AGGGCGGCUGCUGCGGCCUGGCCGGCAACUUCGGCUUCGAGCCGGGCCACGAGGAGGUGUCGGCCGCCUGCGCGGAGGACCGCCUCCUCCCGGCCCUGC
RNAcentral lists this transfer RNA (99 nucleotides) under Streptomyces omiyaensis. Its description in RNAcentral is "tRNA-Arg". Lineage: Bacteria; Bacillati; Actinomycetota; Actinomycetes; Kitasatosporales; Streptomycetaceae. The record is from RNAcentral.